Molecule: ribosomal RNA, 328 nt
Filed under: uncultured eukaryote
Lineage: Eukaryota
Description: partial 18S ribosomal RNA
Rfam family: Eukaryotic small subunit ribosomal RNA
Source: RNAcentral
CCCUUAGAUGUCCGGGGCUGCACGCGCGCUACACUGAAGGAAUCAGCGUGCUAAAACCAUUGUCGAAAGGCAUUGGUAAACCCAUUAAAAUCCUACGUGAUUGGGAUCGGGAAUUGCAAUUAUUUCCCUUGAACGAGGAAUUCCCAGUAAGUGUGGGUCAUAAGCUCGCGUUGAUUACGUCCCUGCCCUUUGUACACACCGCCCGUCGCUGCCCGGGACUGAGCCGUUUCGAGAAAAGCGGGGACUGCUGCUGUCGGGGCCUUCGGGCCUUGGCUUCGGUGGAAACCGCUUUAAUCGCAGUGGCUUGAACCGGGCAAAANUCGUAACA